RNAcentral lists this unclassified non-coding RNA (263 nucleotides) under uncultured fungus. RNAcentral describes it as "partial contains 5.8S ribosomal RNA, internal transcribed spacer 2, and large subunit ribosomal RNA". Lineage: Eukaryota; Fungi. The record is from RNAcentral.
AAGGAUCAUUAAAUAAUUUAGAUGGCCUCCUAGAACUUGUUCUAGUUAGGUUCAUUCUUUUUUACUGUGAACUGUUUUAAUUUUCAGCGUUUGAGGAAUGUCUUUUAGUCAUAGGGAUAGACUAUUAGAAUGUUAACCGAGCUGAAGUCAGGUUUAGACCUGGUAUCCUAUUAAUUAUUUACCAAAAGAAUUCAGUAUUAUUAUUGUAACAUAAGCGUAAAAAACUUAUAAAACAACUUUUAACAACGGAUCUCUUGGUUCUC